AGAUCCACUGCCGCCGCAACCAUCACACUUUACUAGAUGGCCACUGCUUCAGCGUCUGGGAUUGAUAAAAUGAAGCCCCCCGAUACGGCAAAAGCAUCGGCUGUUGAAGAACGAUCGUUGACUGCUCAUCGGAUUUCGGAAGACAAUCUCGUUUCUGUUUUCCUCGGCUGCGGACCCACAACCACUCCUUUUGGAUUUGACCACUUCUCCUGCACAUAGAAUGAUAGCAAAAAGAUCAAGUUAGAGACUUCGGUCGAGCCUCUGUAAGUUGGCACGAGCUAUCAUAAGAUAAGAAGACUCCCUGUUGCAGGAGAAGUUUAAGCACCAUGUAAUGGUGCAAUUCAAAAACCAAAUGAAGUUUCAGUCACACUUUCUAGUGCAAGCUGGGCUCGAUAAGGUACCAAGAGUCUCCUACCUGUCGGUACAGUUUUUGAAGGAGUUUCGUAAGCAGAAGCACACACUUGAAUCAAAACUUUUACAGAGGCGUUUUUCUAAGCUUUAGUUGAAUAACAAGCACAUAAAUGAAUCUUGAAGAUUAUUAAUAAAAGUUGUAGUUAUCUUUAUUUUACUUUAUGACAGAUUUCUAAAUCUUUGUGGUU
This is a long non-coding RNA of Helianthus annuus (common sunflower), 599 nucleotides long. RefSeq lists it as uncharacterized. Lineage: Eukaryota; Viridiplantae; Streptophyta; Magnoliopsida; Asterales; Asteraceae. The record is from RefSeq and is a predicted model, not a curated record. The transcript is spliced from 3 exons.